RNAcentral lists this ribosomal RNA (378 nucleotides) under uncultured eukaryote. RNAcentral describes it as "partial 18S ribosomal RNA". It matches the Rfam family "Eukaryotic small subunit ribosomal RNA", at positions 592 to 976 of the family's 1831-position model. The record is from RNAcentral.
CAAUAGCGUAUAUUAAGGUUGUUGCAGUUAAAAAGCUCGUAGUUGAAACUUGGGCCUGGCUGGCGGGUCCGCCUCACCGCGUGCACUCGUCCGGCCGGGCCUUCCUUCUGAAGAACCUCAUGCCCUUCACUGGGCGUGCUGGGGAAUCAGGACUUUUACUUUGAAAAAAUUAGAGUGUUCAAAGCAGGCCUUUGCUCGAAUACGUUAGCAUGGAAUAAUAAAAUAGGGCGUGCGUUUCUAUUUUGUUGGUUUCUAGAGACGCCGCAAUGGUUAACAGGAACAGUCGGGGGCAUCAGUAUUCAGUUGUCAGAGGUGAAAUUCUUGGAUUUACUGAAGACUAACUACUGCGAAAGCAUUUGCCAAGGAUGUUUUCAUUAA